This 878-nucleotide long non-coding RNA is filed under the name Citrus x clementina. RNAcentral describes it as "Citrus clementina (C. clementina) long non-coding RNA (CCLE_LNC005562)". The record is from RNAcentral. Lineage: Eukaryota; Viridiplantae; Streptophyta; Magnoliopsida; Sapindales; Rutaceae.
AUUAACAACACAUCAGUUUGUACAAAAUAAGUUUAUACAAGAGUUUGUAUCUAUAUCAUUACUCAUAAACUUAAUAUAUAAUAUCAUCAACUAAUAUUUUAUUUUCAAAAAGCAAUGUAUCACUUCAGACUUCAGAGACUUCCCCUGAUCUUUGAAAAUCACACACACACAUUUUUCAAACUGUAACAAAAGAGAAUAAUCACGAAAAGAAAAUCAUCAUAUUAAAUCAUUAAAAAAAAACACAUUUGCAUGAGCAAUUGCAAGCGAGCAUCUUUACUUAACCAUUUUGUUCAAAAAAAAAAGAAAUGGUUAACUAGGCAGAAGGAAAAGCUCUCGAGAAGCAAACAGAGAAAGAUGAAGGGACAGAGAGAAAAUAACAACCAAUUUAUGUUCGUGAUUGAAGAAACGAAGUGACUGACUUGUUGAAAUUCAACCUGGUGAAGCAAAUUUAUGGACUCGGGCCCUGCCACUGCUCAUUUUUGUUCUCAUUUCCUUCAAAGGUGCUACGAUUCUCCGAGUGGCACUGCGGGUUUUAUACUUUUAUUACAAUCAAAACGCUGCAUUUUAGUAUAUACCAGCCGCAGGGACGAUUAGGGGCUUGCAUGCAUUCUACCUCGGCUUCGUGCACAUUUACCCGUUUCACUUACUAAUUACACCGCAAGUUUAGUCAUCAUCCGAAACGACACUGCAUAGACGGAGAAUCGAUUCAAUUUUCAGCUUCUGAUCAAACUAAGAACAGAACAGCAGAUCAAGCAUGUGUGUUUACUUUAGGGUUUGGGGAAUGGAAAUGAAGGAAUGUAAAUAAAACUCAUAUUUAUUUGGUAAACUAGGAAAUAGACCCUUGCUUCGUGCAGUUUUAAAAAACAAAAUUUAGUAUU